RNAcentral lists this long non-coding RNA (809 nucleotides) under Ictidomys tridecemlineatus (thirteen-lined ground squirrel). RNAcentral's name for it is "lncRNA (ENSSTOG00000033127.1)". The record is from RNAcentral. Lineage: Eukaryota; Metazoa; Chordata; Mammalia; Rodentia; Sciuridae.
CUAGAGUCAGCGGGCAGCCAGAGAGGAUAUCUGGACGACGUGGUCAUGGUCGGGCAGAAACCAAAGGCUUUGCACCCUCUGCUGUUCCAGAACACAUCCUGAUUUCCCCAGCACAAGGCUCUUCAGAGAUGUAAACAAUGAAGCAUCCUUGGUUCCAAGGCCAGCUGCGCCUCUGUCGUUGGCUUACUGUCAACCAAGCAGCCCAAACAGAGCUAACUGACGGUGCUGCCCAACAGCGACGCCCCCACGAGGACUUCCCCUGCCUCUCAGCAGCUGGACCACAUGUUACCUUCUGUACCCCAGCAGCAAAAUAUGACCCCUACACAACAUUUCAGAGAAGCCUGAGCCCUGCGGAGUGCAAUGAACCACAGCCCUCCUCUAAGACCCUGAGAAUGCUGACUCUCGGAAAUCGAAUGGCUGUUGCCAAAAGAAACAGGAACCCCAGGUCCAAGCCUUGGGUUUGGCUUAACCUGCCCAACACGUCCGGUGGGUACCUCUGGGGAAAGCCAACCACAUCUGGAGAGCGUGAACUCACCACGCUCUGGGACGCUGCCACAGGAUGAGAGGGUUACUAUUUUCAAACUGGAAAACUGUCAUGUUGUUGUUGUUGGUGCACAGUUGCCAGAUAGAUCCCAGCCGGAGCUGGCCACCAAGCCUGGUGCAACAUUCCUCAUGGGCAGAGUUGGUUCAGAGUGUCACAUGCAUGGGCCACAUUGAGGCCUGGCUGCCAGGAGCCCAGCCAAGCCGAGAGAUGGCAGCAGCCCCCAGGGCAGGGAGAGGAGACUUUUCUUGGGUGUUGGCGAGGAAAA